This 2903-nucleotide ribosomal RNA is filed under the name Escherichia coli. RNAcentral describes it as "23S ribosomal RNA". It matches the Rfam family "Bacterial large subunit ribosomal RNA". The record is from RNAcentral. Lineage: Bacteria; Pseudomonadati; Pseudomonadota; Gammaproteobacteria; Enterobacterales; Enterobacteriaceae.
GGUUAAGCGACUAAGCGUACACGGUGGAUGCCCUGGCAGUCAGAGGCGAUGAAGGACGUGCUAAUCUGCGAUAAGCGUCGGUAAGGUGAUAUGAACCGUUAUAACCGGCGAUUUCCGAAUGGGGAAACCCAGUGUGUUUCGACACACUAUCAUUAACUGAAUCCAUAGGUUAAUGAGGCGAACCGGGGGAACUGAAACAUCUAAGUACCCCGAGGAAAAGAAAUCAACCGAGAUUCCCCCAGUAGCGGCGAGCGAACGGGGAGCAGCCCAGAGCCUGAAUCAGUGUGUGUGUUAGUGGAAGCGUCUGGAAAGGCGCGCGAUACAGGGUGACAGCCCCGUACACAAAAAUGCACAUGCUGUGAGCUCGAUGAGUAGGGCGGGACACGUGGUAUCCUGUCUGAAUAUGGGGGGACCAUCCUCCAAGGCUAAAUACUCCUGACUGACCGAUAGUGAACCAGUACCGUGAGGGAAAGGCGAAAAGAACCCCGGCGAGGGGAGUGAAAAAGAACCUGAAACCGUGUACGUACAAGCAGUGGGAGCCUCUUUAUGGGGUGACUGCGUACCUUUUGUAUAAUGGGUCAGCGACUUAUAUUCUGUAGCAAGGUUAACCGAAUAGGGGAGCCGAAGGGAAACCGAGUCUUAACUGGGCGUUAAGUUGCAGGGUAUAGACCCGAAACCCGGUGAUCUAGCCAUGGGCAGGUUGAAGGUUGGGUAACACUAACUGGAGGACCGAACCGACUAAUGUUGAAAAAUUAGCGGAUGACUUGUGGCUGGGGGUGAAAGGCCAAUCAAACCGGGAGAUAGCUGGUUCUCCCCGAAAGCUAUUUAGGUAGCGCCUCGUGAAUUCAUCUCCGGGGGUAGAGCACUGUUUCGGCAAGGGGGUCAUCCCGACUUACCAACCCGAUGCAAACUGCGAAUACCGGAGAAUGUUAUCACGGGAGACACACGGCGGGUGCUAACGUCCGUCGUGAAGAGGGAAACAACCCAGACCGCCAGCUAAGGUCCCAAAGUCAUGGUUAAGUGGGAAACGAUGUGGGAAGGCCCAGACAGCCAGGAUGUUGGCUUAGAAGCAGCCAUCAUUUAAAGAAAGCGUAAUAGCUCACUGGUCGAGUCGGCCUGCGCGGAAGAUGUAACGGGGCUAAACCAUGCACCGAAGCUGCGGCAGCGACGCUUAUGCGUUGUUGGGUAGGGGAGCGUUCUGUAAGCCUGUGAAGGUGUGCUGUGAGGCAUGCUGGAGGUAUCAGAAGUGCGAAUGCUGACAUAAGUAACGAUAAAGCGGGUGAAAAGCCCGCUCGCCGGAAGACCAAGGGUUCCUGUCCAACGUUAAUCGGGGCAGGGUGAGUCGACCCCUAAGGCGAGGCCGAAAGGCGUAGUCGAUGGGAAACAGGUUAAUAUUCCUGUACUUGGUGUUACUGCGAAGGGGGGACGGAGAAGGCUAUGUUGGCCGGGCGACGGUUGUCCCGGUUUAAGCGUGUAGGCUGGUUUUCCAGGCAAAUCCGGAAAAUCAAGGCUGAGGCGUGAUGACGAGGCACUACGGUGCUGAAGCAACAAAUGCCCUGCUUCCAGGAAAAGCCUCUAAGCAUCAGGUAACAUCAAAUCGUACCCCAAACCGACACAGGUGGUCAGGUAGAGAAUACCAAGGCGCUUGAGAGAACUCGGGUGAAGGAACUAGGCAAAAUGGUGCCGUAACUUCGGGAGAAGGCACGCUGAUAUGUAGGUGAAGUCCCUCGCGGAUGGAGCUGAAAUCAGUCGAAGAUACCAGCUGGCUGCAACUGUUUAUUAAAAACACAGCACUGUGCAAACACGAAAGUGGACGUAUACGGUGUGACGCCUGCCCGGUGCCGGAAGGUUAAUUGAUGGGGUCAGCGCAAGCGAAGCUCUUGAUCGAAGCCCCGGUAAACGGCGGCCGUAACUAUAACGGUCCUAAGGUAGCGAAAUUCCUUGUCGGGUAAGUUCCGACCUGCACGAAUGGCGUAAUGAUGGCCAGGCUGUCUCCACCCGAGACUCAGUGAAAUUGAACUCGCUGUGAAGAUGCAGUGUACCCGCGGCAAGACGGAAAGACCCCGUGAACCUUUACUAUAGCUUGACACUGAACAUUGAGCCUUGAUGUGUAGGAUAGGUGGGAGGCUUUGAAGUGUGGACGCCAGUCUGCAUGGAGCCGACCUUGAAAUACCACCCUUUAAUGUUUGAUGUUCUAACGUUGACCCGUAAUCCGGGUUGCGGACAGUGUCUGGUGGGUAGUUUGACUGGGGCGGUCUCCUCCUAAAGAGUAACGGAGGAGCACGAAGGUUGGCUAAUCCUGGUCGGACAUCAGGAGGUUAGUGCAAUGGCAUAAGCCAGCUUGACUGCGAGCGUGACGGCGCGAGCAGGUGCGAAAGCAGGUCAUAGUGAUCCGGUGGUUCUGAAUGGAAGGGCCAUCGCUCAACGGAUAAAAGGUACUCCGGGGAUAACAGGCUGAUACCGCCCAAGAGUUCAUAUCGACGGCGGUGUUUGGCACCUCGAUGUCGGCUCAUCACAUCCUGGGGCUGAAGUAGGUCCCAAGGGUAUGGCUGUUCGCCAUUUAAAGUGGUACGCGAGCUGGGUUUAGAACGUCGUGAGACAGUUCGGUCCCUAUCUGCCGUGGGCGCUGGAGAACUGAGGGGGGCUGCUCCUAGUACGAGAGGACCGGAGUGGACGCAUCACUGGUGUUCGGGUUGUCAUGCCAAUGGCACUGCCCGGUAGCUAAAUGCGGAAGAGAUAAGUGCUGAAAGCAUCUAAGCACGAAACUUGCCCCGAGAUGAGUUCUCCCUGACUCCUUGAGAGUCCUGAAGGAACGUUGAAGACGACGACGUUGAUAGGCCGGGUGUGUAAGCGCAGCGAUGCGUUGAGCUAACCGGUACUAAUGAACCGUGAGGCUUAACCUU